RNAcentral lists this ribosomal RNA (253 nucleotides) under uncultured bacterium. Its description in RNAcentral is "partial 16S ribosomal RNA". It matches the Rfam family "Bacterial small subunit ribosomal RNA", at positions 524 to 776 of the family's 1533-position model. The record is from RNAcentral.
UACGAAGGGGGCUAGCGUUGCUCGGAAUUACUGGGCGUAAAGGGCGCGUAGGCGGAUAUUUAAGUUAGAGGUGAAAGCCCAGGGCUCAACCCUGGAAUAGCCUUUAAUACUGGAUAUCUUGAGUUCGGGAGAGGUGAGUGGAACUCCGAGUGUAGAGGCGAAAUUCGUAGAUAUUCGGAAGAACACCAGUGGCGAAGGCGACUCACUGGCCCGAUACUGACGCUGAGGCGCGAAAGCGUGGGGAGCAAACAGG